This 369-nucleotide long non-coding RNA is filed under the name Medicago truncatula (barrel medic). RNAcentral describes it as "long non-coding RNA (MTRU_LNC005113)". Lineage: Eukaryota; Viridiplantae; Streptophyta; Magnoliopsida; Fabales; Fabaceae. The record is from RNAcentral.
GCUUUUAAGUUUAAUGGUUGCAAUUCCAUUUAGAAAAAAAUUCAAUUGAGAGAAUCUAAAUCCAAAUUUAUCAAACAACUAAUGAGAAAUCAUAUGUUUACGGUUAGAAGGAUGAUGAUGGCUUAUUGAAGAAAAUAGAUGAUGAACAGUAGUAAAGGGGGAAAAAUCAAAGAGUCGUAGAGUGGCUGUUGAACAUAAGUAAAUGAACUACUGCAAUUUUCGAUUGAAGAAGAAGAUAUAGUGGUAGAUGUGUUGUAGGGUAGACAAGUAGCGCAAUAAACAAUUAGUUGCAUAACAACUAAUUGAUUAUCUCAUAACUACUGUAACUUUAUUAACAGUUUGUUUGUUAUAGGUGUUAACCAUAGUUAG